This 768-nucleotide ribosomal RNA is filed under the name uncultured soil bacterium. Its description in RNAcentral is "bacterial SSU rRNA". It matches the Rfam family "Bacterial small subunit ribosomal RNA", at positions 8 to 796 of the family's 1533-position model. The record is from RNAcentral.
AGAGUUUGAUCAUGGCUCAGGACGAACGCUGGCGGCGUGGAUUAGGCAUGCAAGUCGAGCGACGGCCCUUCGGGGUACGGAGCGGCGAACGGGUGAGUAACACGUGAACAACCUGUCCCUACAUUCCGGAUAAUUGGCCGAAAGGCCUUGUAAUACGGGCGAGGAUCCAGAAGAGGCAUCUCUUUUGGAGGGAACACGCAAGUGGUGCGGGGAGGGGUUCGCGUCCUAUCAGGUAGUUGGCGGGGUAAUGGCCCACCAAGCCUACGACGGGUAGCUGGUCUGAGAGGAUGGUCAGCCACAUUGGAACUGAGACACUGUCCAGACUCCUACGGGAGGCUGCAGUCGAGAAUCUUGCACAAUGCACGAAAGUGUGAUGCAGCGACGCCGCGUGGAGGAAGAAGGCCCUUGGGUCGUAAACUCCUUUUGUUGGGGAAGAAUCAAUGACGGUACCCAGCGAAUAAGCCACGGCUAACUACGUGCCAGCAGCCGCGGUAAUACGUAGGUGGCAAGCGUUGUCCGGAUUUACUGGGUGUAAAGGGUGCGCAGGCGGGCCAUUAAGUAGAAAGUGAAAGGUGGGAGCUCAACUCCUACACUGCUCUCUAUACUGGUGGCCUUGAGUCUCGGAGAGGGAAGCGGAACGACACGUGUAGCGGUGAAAUGCGUUGAUAUGUGUCGGAACACCAAUGGCGAAAGCAGCUUCCUGGACGAGUACUGACGCUCAGGCACGAAAGCCAAGGUAGCAAACAGGAUUAGAUACCCCAGUAGUCC